GGAAUUUUGGACAAUGGGCGAAAGCCUGAUCCAGCAAUGCCGCGUGCAGGAUGAAGGCCUUCGGGUUGUAAACUGCUUUUGUACGGAACGAAAAAGCUUCUCCUAAUACGCGAGGCCCAUUACGGUACCGUAAGAAUACACACCGGCUAACUACGUGCCAGCAGCCGCGGUAAUACGUAGGGUGCGAGCGUUAAUCGGAAUUACUGGGCGUAAAGCGUGCGCAGGCGGUUAUGUAAGACAGAUGUGAAAUCCCCGGGCUCAACCUGGGAACUGCAUUUGUGACUGCAUGGCUAGAGUACGGUAGAGGGGGAUGGAAUUCCGCGUGUAGCAGUGAAAUGCGUAGAUAUGCGGAGGAACACCGAUGGCGAAGGCAAUCCCCUGGACCUGUACUGACGCUCAUGCACGAAAGCGUGGGGAGCAAAC
RNAcentral lists this ribosomal RNA (423 nucleotides) under uncultured bacterium. RNAcentral describes it as "bacterial SSU rRNA". It matches the Rfam family "Bacterial small subunit ribosomal RNA", at positions 358 to 773 of the family's 1533-position model. The record is from RNAcentral.